RNAcentral lists this ribosomal RNA (498 nucleotides) under uncultured bacterium. RNAcentral describes it as "partial 16S ribosomal RNA". It matches the Rfam family "Bacterial small subunit ribosomal RNA", at positions 30 to 523 of the family's 1533-position model. The record is from RNAcentral.
AUUGAACGCUGGCGGCAUGCUUUACACAUGCAAGUCGAACGGUAACAGGCCGCAAGGUGCUGACGAGUGGCGAACGGGUGAGUAAUGCAUCGGAGCGUGCCCAGUCGUGGGGGAUAACUAUCCGAAAGGAUAGCUAAUACCGCAUACGAUCUGCGGAUGAAAGCGGGGGACCUUCUGGCCUCGCGCGAUUGGAGCGGCCGAUGUCAGAUUAGGUAGUUGGUGGGGUAAAGGCUCACAAAGCCAACGAUCUGUAACUGGUCUGAGAGGACGACCAGCCACACUGGGACUGAGACACGGCCCAGACUCCUACGGGAGGCAGCAGUGGGGAAUUUUGGACAAUGGGCGCAAGCCUGAUCCAGCAAUGCCGCGUGCAGGAAGAAGGCCUUCGGGUUGUAAACUGCUUUUGUACGGAACGAAACGGCUCUGGUUAAUACCUGGGGCUAAUGACGGUACCGUAAGAAUAAGCACCGGCUAACUACGUGCCAGCCGCCGCAGUAA